This 7332-nucleotide long non-coding RNA is filed under the name Triticum aestivum (bread wheat). RNAcentral's name for it is "long non-coding RNA (TAES_LNC010239)". The record is from RNAcentral. Lineage: Eukaryota; Viridiplantae; Streptophyta; Magnoliopsida; Poales; Poaceae.
AUCUUCGCAAACAACCCAUGUAAUACAUAAGGGAAAAGAUACAUAGUUGGCUUACAAUCGCCACUUCACACAAUUACAUGAAUAAAGCAUUACAUCAUCCAAAUACACUCAAGGUCCGACUACGGAACCAAAAUAAAAGAACCCCAAAUGCGACAAAGGUCCCCGAUCGACCCCAACUGGGCUCAACUACUGAUCAAGUAGAACGAAACAACACAAAGGACAAGAUCUUCAUCGAGCUCCUCCUGAGCUUGGUUGCGUCAUCUGCACGGUCUCAUCGGCCCUAGUAAGCUGGUAUUGGAAGUAUCUGUGAGCCACGGGGACUCAGCAAUCUCGCACCCUCGCGAUCAAGACUAUUUAAGCUUAUGGGUAAGGUAAAGGUAUGAGGUGGAACUGCAGCAAGCGACUAGCAUAUAUGGUGGCUAACAUACGCAAAUGAGAGCGAGAAGAGAAGGCAAAGCACGGUCGAUAAAAGUAUGAUCAAGAAGUGAUCCUAAAACAACCUACGUCAAGCAUAACUCCAACACCGUGUUCACUUCCCGGACCCCGCCGGAAAGAGACCAUCACGGUUACACACGCGGUUGAUUCAUUUUAAUUAAGGUCAACUUUAGGUUUUCUACAACCGGACGUUAACCGCGGGCACGACUUUCGAAAGUUCAAAACCCUGCAGGGGUGUCCCAACUUAGCCCAUCACAAGCUCUCAUGGUCAACGAAGGAAUAGACCUCCACCCAAGACAUUCCGAUCAGACUCAGUAUCCCGGUACAACAAGACAUUUCGACAGGGUAAAACUAAACCAGCAACACCGCCCGAGUGUGCUGACAAAUCCCGAUAGGAGCUGCACAUAUCUCUUUCUCAGGGCACACUCAGAUUGUCCUAGGUACGGGUAGGCCAGCCUAGAGUUGCCCCUGGUGGCCACCGGUAGCUGACAGGUGGACCAACACUCAGAGGAGCACUGGCCCAGGGGGUAAAUAAUGAUGACCCUUGGGCUGGCUGACCCAGGGGAAAGAAAAGGCUAGGUGGAGAAUGGUAAAACCCAUGUUGGGCAUUGUUGGAGAAGUUUUAAUUCAAGGCGAACUGUCAAGGGGUUCCCAUUAUUACCCAACCGCGUAAGGAACGCAAAAUCCGGGAACAUAACACCGAUAUGACGGAAACUAGCGUGGCAAGAGUGGAACAAAACACCAGGCAUAAGGCCGAGCCUUCCACCCUUUACCAAGUAUAUAGAUGCAUUAAUUAAAUAAGAUAUAUUGUGAUAUCCCGACAAGUAACAUGUUCCAACAAGGAACAACAUCUCCAUGUUCCAACAAGGAACAAACUUCAAUCUUCACCUGCAACUAACAACGCUAUAAGAGGGGCUGAGCAAAGCGGUAACAUAGCCAAUCAACGGUUUGCUAGGACAAGGUGGGUUAGAGGCUUGGUUCAACAAUAUAGGAGGCAUGAUAAGCAAGUGGUAGGUAUCGCAGCAUAGGCAUAGCAAAAGAGGGAGCAACUAAGCAAGCAAAGAUAGAAGUGAUUUCGAGGGUAUGGUCAUCUUGCCUGAAAUCCCGCAAGGAAGAAGAACGAGUACAUGAAGAAGACAAACGGACGUAGACGAACGGGUCCUCACAAACGCAACAUUACCGGAAUCAACCCAAAGAAGCAAACACCGGAAAAGAAGCACACAACAUAGUAAACAACCAACACAUGAACAUGGUAUGAUAUGCGGGAUGCGGUAUGCGAUGCAUAUGCAUGAUUUGACAAGGAAUGCAUGAAUCUGGCCUCAACUUGGAAAUCCAAGUGUGCCACUGGAAAGGUGAGAUGAAAUCGCUUGAAAACGAUAUAAAGAACCGGAAUCGGAGUUACGGUUUGGAAAUGGCAAGCGAUUCAAAUAUGACACCGGUCUGCGAUUUACAGCAAGUAGCCAUCUAAAUGCAAUGAGAUGAACAUGCUACAGGACCCAAACAUGACAACAAAAUACAUGGCAGGGAUGCAUACAAGAUGCUUAACAAAAGUAUAGCACUGAGCUACGGCCAAUUCAUCCAUUAACAGGUUCAGACAAGCAUGGCAAAAAUGCAUAUGACAAACAUAUUUCAGACUUAAGUGAAAUUAACACUGGUAUGGAAUUUCAGAUCAGAUAGCCCUCUUCUAACAGCAUUUUGGGCAUCAAUAUGAACUCAAAUGAAAAUGAUGCAAUGGAAUGAAAUGAUGUACUCUCUGAGAUGAACAUUUUGAUAUGCUAUAUGCAUGAAUCGGAGCUAUGGAUGCAAAGUUACGGGGCUAUGAGCAUGGGCACUUGGAUCUGGGAUGUUCAGGACUUAGUGAAAAUAUACCUCCGGAAAAAGUCAAACCGGGACGAAGUGGUACAGGACAGAGGGAUCCGGAUCUGGACGAGGCGUUUGGAUGGACGCGCGGGUGGAUCUGAUCCCGCUUCACGGAUCUCGCCGGAGAAGUUCGCCGGAGACGGAGGAGAUGGCCGGAGGUGAGGAGGAGCUCGCCGGUGGAGAGGGAGGCCGGCGAUGGCACCACGGCGGCGUGGCGCAAGGACGGAGGCGGGGCGCGCCUCGGCUCGGCGGAGGAGUGGGCCGGGAGGCGGCGCAAGUGCGGCGGCGGCGAAGCAAGUGCGUCAGCGGCGGAGCGGCGCAAGGCGAGGCUGGCGCGGUGGUGGACGAGGCGUUUCGGCGCGCGGUCGGGCAGCGGUUCGGGCGACGAAGGCCGGGCGGCGGCGGAUCCGGGCCCCGCGGGCCAGAUCUGGGCCGCGCGGUCGAGCGGCGGAGGAGAGAGGAGGAGGGCCGGCGCGGUGAGGUGGCGGCGUCUGGUUGGUCGUGGGAGGUGGAGGAGGCGACGUGCCGGCUCCUCAUUGGUCUGGGUGAGGUGGUCGGGCAGUGGAGCGGCGCGGGAAGAAACGUCCGGCUGCGCGCGGAGGAGGAGGUUAGGGUUCAUCUACGCGAAAAUUCCGAGAGGAACACAUAUUUAUAGGUAGAGGGAGCUAGGAGAGUCCAAAUGAGGUGCGGUUUUCGGCCACGCGAUCGUGAUCGAACGACCGAGAUGAUGGAGUAGGUUUAAGUGGGUUUUGGGCCAAAUUGGAAGGGGCUGCAACACACACAAGGCCUUUUCGGUCCCUCGGUUAACCGUUGGAGUAUCAAACGAAGUCCAAAUGGUACGAAACUUGACAUGCGGUCUACCGGUAGUAAGCCAAGGACGCCUGGCAAGUCUCGGUCCAAUCCGGAAAUGUUUAAUCCCCACACAUGAAAGAAAGGUAGAAAUGACCACCAGAGGAGAACGGAGCGCCGGAAUGCAAAACGGACAACGGAAAAAAUGCUCGGAUGCCUAAGAAGAACAUGUAUGCAAAUGAAAUGCACAUGAUGACAUGAUAUGUGAUGCAUGACACGCAAGCAAUGAUAAGGAAACAACAGCGAAUAAGUGGAGGACACGUGGCACAUCGGUCUCGGGGCGUUACAACACUCCACCACUACGAGAGGAUCUCGUCCCGAGAUCUAGAAUGGCACUGGGGAAACAAUGGAAGAAAAGAGAGGAGAGGUAAAACUAAGUUCCUUCUUUGACAAACGAGUGAGACCAAAGACCCUUGAGAGGUUAAACAAAAUGAAAGAAAGAAGCCAUGGAGAAGAACAAAGGUGAAAGCACUCUGUAAAGAGAGAGGAAUAAGAAAGAACCAAUUCGGGUAGCACUCCGGUUGAAAAGAGUUGAAAAACUUGUUAAAAUGAAAGAACUUGAGCAGAGGACACAACACUCCGGUUAAAUGGGUGGGCAUGAAAAGAAUAUGAUCUUGUCAAAAUGAGGUGAUGGAAUGGAAGGAGCAACACACAAUGUCUCCGGAACGAAAAGAAUAGAAUAUAGAUAAUUGAAAUAAAAGAAUGGAGAAGAAAAAGCCAACUUCUGCCACAAAAGAACUUGAAAAGGUAUCCUUAGGAGUAGGGUCGAACGAAGUUGUUGGAAAACCAACAACGAAAAGAUAAGCUUGAUAUGGUCUUAAGGAAUACAUCUCAAAUUAUGAGGUGACAACCUGCCACUCACGGGAAAAAGAAUUGGAUUGGUAUGAAUAAGGAGACGAUAAAAUAUUUCACCGGGAGGAUAAAGAAGAACCUGGGUCCUUUAUAAGCACCAUAGAUAGCAACAAUCCUUAGGGAAAGUUUUAGGUGAAAUAUAACCCAAGAUAAUUCCAACGAAGAGGUUGAUGGAUUUAAAAUAUCUCAUUCUUAACAACAUUCGAAUCAUGAAACAUGAACUCGGAUUAUCAAGAAUGAUACAAUACCAUCUCCAAUGAUACGGAAGAAAGAAUUGCACUCCGGAUAGAAAGAAGAAGAAAACUUGAGUUCCUCUGAAAAGAAAGUUCAUGAAUGUUUCGAGAAGGAAUAUAAAUCCUUGAUGAACCAUCCUGUAGAGCCUCCAUGAAGAACUCCGGUUAAAAGAAUGAUCACAAAGAAGUGAAAGAUGAAAAGAAUAAGGUUGAAACCUUGCAAUGAUUAGAUGGAUCUUCAUGAUGAUGAAAGCUUGGAACUCCGGGAAAAGAGAAGAUGAAACAAUUGAAAUCAGGAAUUUGAUGAGCCUCCGGAAUAAGGAAUUAAACUCUUGGAUGAAACAAGAAUAAGAAUUACAUUAUGCUUAUCCUUCAGCAAUUAAAUUGAUGACAAUCAACGUAUUUGACAUAUUACUUAUUCUUGUAGAAAGGAUUAAGAUAGAUACAGCGCAAACUUGAGAAAGUCUUCCACGAACCACCGGAAGGAUUGAAACAACAAAUAAAUUGAUAUGAUAAUGAAGGAAAAGAAAUCUUUGGAGAACCACCGUAAGAAUUGAAAAGAACGAUUAACAUGAAGGCACACCAGGAAGAAUUAGCAAUUAAACGAAGAUGCUUGAGAGAAUUUAGACCCAUGAGAAUGAAGAGAUCACGAGGCGAUUAAAGAUCACUUGAACGAAGCACCGGUAAAAUUUGAGAAUGAUAGCUGAAAUCUGAGAAUGAAUAAACUCUGAGAUGAUGGGCUCUCGAUAAAACAAACUGAAAUACUCUUGAAUUGCUCCGGAUGGAUAAAAGAAUUCUCACAAUCAAACAAUUAUGACAGGAUGGCCUCGAAUUAGAACCACGAAUCUCUGAGAGAACGGAUAAGAUAUGGAGUUAAAAUUCUUUUUCGGUCUUCAAAAGCUGAGAAUGACGACGAGAAACACCACCAUGAAUUGUUGAGAUGCUCUGGAUUGAAGAAUAAUGGAAAAGUUGAAAACACGAUGAAAAGAAUUUGGAAGAUCUUGGAGAGAAGCAUUUGACUAAUGAUAAAUCAUUCUUACGUCAAACUUCAAAAGAAAUUUGAGGAUAGCUCCGGGAAAUAAGAAGAGUCAGGUAAGAUCCUGGGAAUAGACCUGUGGGUUAGGGCCCACUCAAAAGAAACACCAUAGAAAUGAUUUAAAAGAAAGGUUGCAUCGGUUGAAUUAAAUGGCUAGAAUGAGAUGACAAUCUCGAAAGAACUUGAACGCAUGCAGAGUGGAAACAUGAAUCUUCUGAGAUAUCUUGAGCACUCCGGAACAAUUGAAUAGCGAGAGGUGAAUGAUAAAUAGGUGCACCGGUAAGAAAAAAACAUUUUAAAUACGGAAAAGAAUCUGAACAACACCGAAAGCUUGAAUUUGGAUCCACCGGAGGGGAAAACGAGUGAUGAGAGACAGACUUGAAGCUCCGUUAGAAUCUUCAUGAGAAUCACCGGAUAAGAGCAUUGAUGGAAAAGAAUGGAGAGGCUUCCAUCAAUAAAAUGAUACUUGAUUGGGAAAUCUGAGUCCUUGAAGAAAAAGAGGUGGGUGGGUGGGAAAACAAAGACAACUUGAAGACGGAUGAAGCAAACAACGUUGAUGAAAGCUAAGAUUGGAUCUUGCGGAUGUUGAAAUGUUCGGAUCCACUAGAAGAGAAGCACACCGGUUGAAAAGAAUUGACAUGACAAACUCGAUGAUCGAGAAGGAUUAGUAUUCACAUAGGAAUAUGAGAACACCAUUUAGGAAAGGUAUGGAAUCAACAUUUGACUUCGAAGCAACUCGAAUACCACAACUCAAAACAAAAACAAUGGAUUGGCUUGCAAAAUAAGCCAGAACAAACAUAUGAUAGAGAUUUCGUCCGAAGUUUUCGUGGUGGUUCCUACACGGGCUCGAUCGUACAACACCAUCAUGUACAAGGCAGUGCACACGACAUACGAAGCGUCCCCGAGUCGGCAUAGCCAAGGACUCUUUAAGACACAACGAGACCACUGUAAAACCGACCGUGAAUACGCGAACCACUAGACGUCGAACCCCAAUUUCAUAUCAUAAUCUGUCGGAAAGAUAUCCUAAGAGCUACUUGAAUUCCCACCUAUGAAACUCACGAAACUUUCCGGUUAUGCAAUCAGGUGUUGGGGAUACUCCUAAAAGCAUAAACUCUCACCCAAACUAGCAAAUCCUACAUCCAGCUGUAUCCAUCCUUCAACACAUAACCAAGAAACCUUCGGAAAUCAUCUACCUCAACCUUCAAAAAGCAUCCGUUAUACAAGUUAUGGCGAUACUCCUGAACUCCCGCCCCAGUACUGGGUGGCGUCGAGGUUAUCUCACCAACAAACUGCAUAAAAGAGAUUUUCAAUGUCGGCGUACUAAACUCAGGUAUUCCCGAACUACAAUGAUAAAAUUAUGAUGACAACACCUCAGAGCUCAACUCCCCGGGACACUUCCACUAAACCCCUGACAGGAGGCACCAAGACAAUGUUCUCAUCAUAAAACCAUCAGAAUGAUUCCAAGAUAACUGUGUGAUCCUAAAAAAAUUUAGUGAAAUUUGAGAAGAGAAGAGUCAAAACUCUACGUCAGGAUGCCUUACCAGAGCGAUGAGGAGACUGGGAAGUAAAAAGAAUUCCUAAACUCUCUGAUAUAUAAUUCCUAAAUGACUCAAAACAUUUUUCUAGACACAACUCGGCCGCUAAUAACGAUCAAGCAAUGGGGCUCCUAAGGUCGAGGAUGGCUCUGAUUACCAACUUGUAACGCCCUCGAUGCGGCUAUAUCUCCCACGGGUCGAAGCACGACUUAGAGGCAUAACCGCAUUGAAAGCAAUGUCACAAGUGAGGUAAUCUUCGCAAACAACCCAUGUAAUACAUAAGGGAAAAGAUACAUAGUUGGCUUACAAUCGCCACUUCACACAAUUACAUGAAUAAAGCAUUACAUCAUCCAAAUAGACUCAAGGUCCGACUACGGAACCAAAAUAAAAGAAGAACCCCAAAUGCGACAAAGGUCCCCGAUCGACCCCAACUGGGCUCCACUACUGAUCAAGUAGAACGAAACAACACAAAGGACAAGAUCUUCAUCGAGCUCCUCCUGAGCUUGGUUGCGUCAUCUGCACGGUCUCAUCG